Molecule: ribosomal RNA, 497 nt
Filed under: uncultured bacterium
Lineage: Bacteria
Description: partial 16S ribosomal RNA
Rfam family: Bacterial small subunit ribosomal RNA
Source: RNAcentral
GAUGAACGCUGGCGUCGUGCCUAAUACAUGCAAGUCGAGCGAACAGACGAGGAGCUUGCUCCUCUGACGUUAGCGGCGGACGGGUGAGUAACACGUGGAUAACCUACCUAUAAGACUGGGAUAACUUCGGGAAACCGGAGCUAAUACCGGAUAACAUGUUGAACCGCAUGGUUCAACAGUGAAAGACGGUCUUGCUGUCACUUAUAGAUGGAUCCGCGCCGCAUUAGCUAGUUGGUAAGGUAACGGCUUACCAAGGCAACGAUGCGUAGCCGACCUGAGAGGGUGAUCGGCCACACUGGAACUGAGACACGGUCCAGACUCCUACGGGAGGCAGCAGUAGGGAAUCUUCCGCAAUGGGCGAAAGCCUGACGGAGCAACGCCGCGUGAGUGAAGAAGGUCUUCGGAUCGUAAAACUCUGUUAUUAGGGAAGAACAAAUGUGUAAGUAACUAUGCACGUCUUGACGGUACCUAAUCAGAAAGCCACGGCUAACUACGUG